UCCAGACUCCUACGGGAGGCAGCAGUGAGGAAUAUUGGUCAAUGGGCGCGAGCCUGAACCAGCCAAGUCGCGUGAGGGAAGACGGCCCUACGGGUUGUAAACCUCUUUUGUCGGGGAGCAAAGCGAACCACGUGUGGUUCAUUGAGAGUACCCGAAGAAAAAGCAUCGGCUAACUCCGUGCCAGCAGCCGCGGUAAUACGGAGGAUGCGAGCGUUAUCCGGAUUUAUUGGGUUUAAAGGGUGCGUAGGCGGGACGUUAAGUCAGCGGUAAAAAUGCGGAGCUCAACUCCGUCGAGCCGUUGAAACUGCCGUUCUUGAGUGAGCGAGAAGUAUGCGGAAUGCGUGGUGUAGCGGUGAAAUGCAUAGAUAUCACGCAGAACUCCGAUUGCGAAGGCAGCAUACCGGCGCUCAACUGACGCUGAAGCACGAAGGCGUGGGUAUCGAACAGGAUUAGAUACCCGUGUAA
This 465-nucleotide ribosomal RNA is filed under the name uncultured bacterium. RNAcentral describes it as "bacterial SSU rRNA". It matches the Rfam family "Bacterial small subunit ribosomal RNA", at positions 330 to 793 of the family's 1533-position model. The record is from RNAcentral.